GGUAGUCCACGCCGUAAACGAUGUCGACUUGGAGGUUGUGCCCUUGAGGCGUGGCUUCCGGAGCUAACGCGUUAAGUCGACCGCCUGGGGAGUACGGCCGCAAGGUUAAAACUCAAAUGAAUUGACGGGGGCCCGCACAAGCGGUGGAGCAUGUGGUUUAAUUCGAUGCAACGCGAAGAACCUUACCUACUCUUGAUAUCCAGAGAACUUAGCAGAGAUGCUUUGGUGCCUUCGGGAACUCUGAGACAGGUGCUGCAUGGCUGUCGUCAGCUCGUGUUGUGAAAUGUUGGGUUAAGUCCCGCAACGAGCGCAACCCUUAUCCUUUGUUGCCAGCGGUUAGGCCGGGAACUCAAAGGAGACUGCCAGUGAUAAACUGGAGGAAGGUGGGGAUGACGUCAAGUCAUCAUGGCCCUUACGAGUAGGGCUACACACGUGCUACAAUGGCGCAUACAAAGAGAAACGACCUCGCGAGAGCAAGCGGACCUCAUAAAGUGCGUCGUAGUCCGGAUUGGAGUCUGCAACUCGACUCCAUGAAGUCGGAAUCGCUAGUAAUCGUAGAUCAGAAUGCUACGGUGAAUACGUUCCCGGGCCUUGUACACACCGCCCGUCACACCAUGGGAGUGGGUUGCAAAAGAAGUAGGUAGCUUAACCUUCGGGAGGGCGCUUACCACUUUGUGAUUCAUGACUGGGGUGAAGUCGUAACAAGGUAACCGUAGGGGAACCUGC
This 726-nucleotide ribosomal RNA is filed under the name uncultured bacterium. RNAcentral's name for it is "bacterial SSU rRNA". It matches the Rfam family "Bacterial small subunit ribosomal RNA", at positions 789 to 1515 of the family's 1533-position model. The record is from RNAcentral.